Molecule: long non-coding RNA, 337 nt
Organism: Sycon ciliatum
Lineage: Eukaryota; Metazoa; Porifera; Calcarea; Leucosolenida; Sycettidae
Exons: 3
Source: RefSeq, a predicted model, not a curated record
AAAGAUACAGGUAGUAGAGAAGUUUAGAGAAGUACAGGAACGAAAAAAUGGAGAAGAGAAACGUUGUUGAGAUGAAGCGUAGAGAGAAGAGCAGAGAGACCGACUGGAAAGAAGUUCUACAGAAGACUUGAGGGUUGAAGAAAGGUAAGAGGAUAGACAGAGCGACAAUACGUCAAUAGCAAAGAUAGUCGUCAGCGAAUUCAAGGAAUGUGGAUCUGGUUGACAAGCUCCACCAUCAGGGCAAAGGAGUGGUAUGGCCUGUUCAGGACUUUGCUUGGGUGUCCUGAUUGGCUGCUUGCUUCUCUUCUGUCCCCUGUUGCUGACAAGCUGCAAUGGU